CAACAGCACCGCAAACGAGACAACAAAUGGAGUGAUGAUAACGAGCCAGAAGGCUCUAUUUAUAAACCCAGCUCGUCGAUAUUAUUUGAAAUGAGAAAAAAAGUUUAUGCUGAUUUUCCUGCGAUGACGUCCAUUGGUUUUGCGACCUUUACUAACUCCAGCCCUUGACUUUGUAUCCCAUUGCUACUCUAUAACAACGUGAUUUUGACAAGACAUAUACACUACUGU
Molecule: unclassified non-coding RNA, 228 nt
Filed under: Yarrowia lipolytica
Lineage: Eukaryota; Fungi; Ascomycota; Dipodascomycetes; Dipodascales
Source: RNAcentral